GAUGAAGAACGUAGCGAAAUGCGAUACUUGGUGUGAAUUGCAGAAUCCCGUGAACCAUCGAGUCUUUGAACGCAAGUUGCGCCCGAAGCCAUUAGGCCGAGGGCACGCCUGCCUGGGCGUCACACGUCGUUGCCCCCCCAUCUACUCCUUCGGGAUUGCGGGGGGCGGAUGAUGGCCUCCCGUGCGCCUCGUCGCGCGGUUGGCAUAAAUGCCAAGUCCUCGGCGACGCACGCCACGACAAUCGGUGGUUGCGAACCCUCGGUUGCCCGUCGUGUGCGGUCAUCGCGCAUCGAGGGCUCGAAAAAAUUGCCGGGCUCCGGCUCGGCUUUCAACGCGACCCCAGGUCAGGCGGGGUUACCCGCUGAAUUUAAGCAUAUCAAUAAGCGGAGGA
RNAcentral lists this unclassified non-coding RNA (391 nucleotides) under soil metagenome. Its description in RNAcentral is "partial contains 5.8S ribosomal RNA, internal transcribed spacer 2, and large subunit ribosomal RNA". The stretch from base 1 to 122 matches the Rfam family "5.8S ribosomal RNA", at positions 35 to 154 of the family's 154-position model. The record is from RNAcentral.